This 514-nucleotide ribosomal RNA is filed under the name uncultured bacterium. RNAcentral's name for it is "bacterial SSU rRNA". It matches the Rfam family "Bacterial small subunit ribosomal RNA", at positions 15 to 518 of the family's 1533-position model. The record is from RNAcentral.
GAUUAUGGCUCAGGAUGAACGCUAGCGGCAGGCUUAACACAUGCAAGUCGAGGGGCAGCGGGAUGUAGCAAUACAUUGCCGGCGACCGGCGGAUGGGUGCGUAACGCGUAUGCAACCUACCUUAUACAGGGGGAAUAACCUUUCGAAAGGGAGACUAACACCCCAUGGUAUUGAUUUAAGGCAUCUUAGAUUAAUUAAAUAUUUAUAGGUAUAAGAUGGGCAUGCGUAUGAUUAGCUAGUUGGUAAGGUAACGGCUUACCAAGGCGACGAUCAUUAGGGGUUCUGAGAGGAAGGUCCCCCACACUGGUACUGAGACACGGACCAGACUCCUACGGGAGGCAGCAGUGAGGAAUAUUGGUCAAUGGGCGCAAGCCUGAACCAGCCAUGCCGCGUGACCAGGAAGACGGCCUUAUGGGUUGUAAACUGUCUUUUACAUAAGACUAACCGUAUAUUUGCGAAUAUACCUGAAUGUAUUAUGAGAAUAAGGAUCGGCUAACUCCGUGCCAGCCGCAGC